CAGAGUUGCAAAAACUCCCUAAACCAUUGUGAACGUUACCUAAACCGUUUGCUUCGGGCGGGCGGCCCGGGUCCUUCCCGGCGCCCCUCGGCCCUCGCGGGCGCCCGCCGGAGGUAAACCAAACUAUUGCAUUGUAUGGCCUCUCUGAGUCUUCUGUACUGAAUAAGUCA
Molecule: unclassified non-coding RNA, 170 nt
Filed under: soil metagenome
Description: partial internal transcribed spacer 1
Source: RNAcentral